AUCCAGUUGACGAGUCCCAAAUAGGACGAAACGCGCGUCACACUGGAU
This is a non-coding RNA of Schistosoma rodhaini, 48 nucleotides long. The record is from Rfam. NCBI's taxonomy places the organism in Eukaryota, Metazoa, Platyhelminthes, Trematoda, Strigeidida, Schistosomatidae.